RNAcentral lists this ribosomal RNA (253 nucleotides) under uncultured bacterium. RNAcentral describes it as "partial 16S ribosomal RNA". It matches the Rfam family "Bacterial small subunit ribosomal RNA", at positions 524 to 776 of the family's 1533-position model. The record is from RNAcentral.
UACGUAGGGGGCAAGCGUUAUCCGGAAUUAUUGGGCGUAAAGCGCGCGCAGGCGGUUUCUUAAGUCUGAUGUGAAAGCCCACGGCUCAACCGCGGAGGGUCAUUGGAAACUGGGGAACUUGAGUGCAGAAGAGAAAAGCGGAAUUCCACGUGUAGCGGUGAAAUGCGUAGAGAUGUGGAGGAACACCAGUGGCGAAGGCGGCUUUUUGGUCUGUAACUGACGCUGAGGCGCGAAAGCGUGGGGAGCAAACAGG